RNAcentral lists this ribosomal RNA (406 nucleotides) under uncultured bacterium. RNAcentral's name for it is "partial 16S ribosomal RNA". It matches the Rfam family "Bacterial small subunit ribosomal RNA", at positions 29 to 526 of the family's 1533-position model. The record is from RNAcentral.
AUUGAACGCUGGCGGCAGGCCUAACACAUGCAAGUCGAACGAGGGGCGGACGGGUGAGUAAUGUCUGGGAAACUGCCUGAUGGAGGGGGAUAACUACUGGAAACGGGAGAUAAUACCGCAUACCAUCGGAUGUCCCCAGAUGGGAUUAGCUAGUAGGUGGGGUAAAGGCUCACCUAGGCGACGAGCCCUAGCUGGUCUGAGAGGAUGACCAGCCACACUGGAACGGAGACACGGUCCAGACUCCUACGGGAGGCAGCAGUGGGGAAUAUUGCACAAUGGGCGCAAGCCUGAUGCAGCCAUGCCGCGUGUAUGAAGAAGGCCUUAGGGUUGUAAAGUACUUUCAGCCGGGAGGCGUUACCGGCAGAAGAAGCACCGGCUAACUCCGUGCCAGCAGCCGCGGUAAUAC